UAGUACGGCGAGUGAAGAGGGAAGAGCCCAAGAUUGAAAGCUGGCGUCUUCGGCGUCCGCAUUGUAAUCUCAAGAAGUGUUUUCCGCUUCGGACCAUGCCUAAGUCCCUUGGAAAAGGGCAUCAUAGAGGGUGAUAAUCCCGUACAUGGCAUGGAGCGCCCGAAGCUUUGUGAUACGCUUUCUACGAGUCGAGUUGUUUGGGAAUGCAGCUCAAAAUGGGUGGUAAAUGCCAUCUAAGGCUAAAUAUUGGGGAGAGACCGAUAGCGAACAAGUACAGUGAUGGAAAGAUGAAAAGAACUUUGAAAAGAGAGUUAAACAGUACGUGAAAUUGCCAAAAGGGAAGGGUAGGAGGUCAGAGAUGCGUCGCAGGAUUCAGCCUUGCUUUUGCUUGGUGUUUUUCCUGCGUUGCAGGCCAACGUCGGUUUUGGGCACUGGAGAAGGGUAGGAGGAACGUGGCACCUCUCGGGGUGUGUUAUAGCCUCCUACUGGAUACAGCGACCGAGACCGAGGAACGCAGCGUACUCGUAAGAGCGGGCCUUUUGGCACCUUUACGCUUAGGGCGUUGGCAUAAUGGCCCUCUACCACCCGUCUUGAA
RNAcentral lists this ribosomal RNA (595 nucleotides) under uncultured Pseudozyma. RNAcentral describes it as "LSU rRNA". It matches the Rfam family "Eukaryotic large subunit ribosomal RNA", at positions 81 to 658 of the family's 3401-position model. The record is from RNAcentral. Lineage: Eukaryota; Fungi; Basidiomycota; Ustilaginomycetes; Ustilaginales; Ustilaginaceae.